UGGGGAAUAUUGGACAAUGGGCGAAAGCCUGAUCCAGCCAUGCCGCGUGUGUGAAGAAGGUCUUCGGAUUGUAAAGCACUUUAAGUUGGGAGGAAGGGCAUUAACCUAUACGUUAGUGUUUUGACGUUACCGACAGAAUAAGCACCGGCUAACUCUGUGCCAGCAGCCGCGGUAAUACAGAGGGUGCAAGCGUUAAUCGGAAUUACUGGGCGUAAAGCGCGCGUAGGUGGUUUGUUAAGUUGGAUGUGAAAUCCCCGGGCUCAACCUGGGAACUGCAUUCAAAACUGACUGACUAGAGUAUGGUAGAGGGUGGUGGAAUUUCCUGUGUAGCGGUGAAAUGCGUAGAUAUAGGAAGGAACACCAGUGGCGAAGGCGACCACCUGGACUAAUACUGACACUGAGGUGCGAAAGCGUGGGGAGCAAACA
RNAcentral lists this ribosomal RNA (426 nucleotides) under uncultured bacterium. Its description in RNAcentral is "partial 16S ribosomal RNA". It matches the Rfam family "Bacterial small subunit ribosomal RNA", at positions 355 to 774 of the family's 1533-position model. The record is from RNAcentral.